GAAGUACAUGUGGGGUAGAGGCGGUGGAUCAAAUAAAAGGAGAGGACCCGCCGCCUCUGCUCCACGGAGGGGAGGGGAAAAAAAGACGGUGAGAAAAUGAAAAGCCGGCUGCUGCCCGCCAUCUUGAUCAUCCGCACUUCUCCCCGGGACCGGCGAGAUCCACGUUCCCUGCCGACGCUGCUGGCCAAUCAGGGGCCACGGCGGCCUAAUCGGCCAGAGGCCUACCAGAAAGCGGCGGGAUUCGACCAAUGAGCGGCUACAUUCGCGCCAGUGCGAAUCGCUGAUCAAUCGGCGGGCGUCGUACGGGCGCGGGCCAAUCGGCAACCGCGCAUGUCGCCCAAUCCGCGGCGCCAAGCCGAAGCGGCGAAUGCCAGGCACUCAGUGGCGCCGCCCUGGCGUGAUCCAAACGGAAACCGUGGUUUUGGACCAAUCGUUGGCACCAUCCGACCAUGAGCCAAUCGGAAACUGCAGAGGGCGACCAAUCGGCGGCGGCGGAUGGUCGUAAACCAAUCGGAAACCGUGAGUGGUGACUAAUAGGCGACGCCAUGGGGACGCUAGCCAAUCUGAAGCGGUAGAACCGGCCAUUCAUUGGUGCCGGCUAUGGCGGUGGUGGCCAAUCAGAAGCUCAGCUCUCUAACGAGUUUGUAAUGGCCAUUCUGGUCAAAAUGAAAGCAAUAAACUAUUUGCACAUCAAUUUUA
This is a long non-coding RNA of Rhincodon typus (whale shark), 699 nucleotides long. RefSeq lists it as uncharacterized. NCBI's taxonomy places the organism in Eukaryota, Metazoa, Chordata, Chondrichthyes, Orectolobiformes, Rhincodontidae. The record is from RefSeq and is a predicted model, not a curated record. The transcript has 2 exons.